Molecule: unclassified non-coding RNA, 750 nt
Filed under: Hevea brasiliensis (rubber tree)
Lineage: Eukaryota; Viridiplantae; Streptophyta; Magnoliopsida; Malpighiales; Euphorbiaceae
Source: RNAcentral
GAUAAUGAUUUGGACUCUUUUAUGGCCGAAUAUUUUAUGGGCUGCAGUAAAGGAAAUCAAAAACCACUGACUGAUUGGCAAUUCGAAAAUAGAAUUUCCAGCACACUUGUCCAGAACUUAAUACUCAACGGCAGUUUUUGGGAUCUGAACAAAUGAUCCCCUUUGAUGAUCUCAUUCACAUUGCAGCUACGCUAAUCAGUAAGCCGACUAUCAAACAAGAUUUUCAACAAGAAAAAAUGCAGAAAUAGGGGGAGGAUUUUACUAACACAAAAAUAAUCAGAAGCUGGAAAAGGCAAGCCAGAACUAUGGCACAGUUUAAAUCAACAAUGGUUAUUCAAGAACUGAAUCAAUCGAGGGGAGGCAAUAUCCUGGAUGGGGAAACUCAAGCUAUGGCUAUAAAGCAAAGCACUGUUAAUGAGAAAAUGGAGCUGGAGAGAGCGCACAGAAAAGGAAGUACCCUACAGAGUAGAAUAAUCAAGCAAGCAAAAAAGCAAAUGUGGAUUUAAUUCAACAAGUGGUGGGGGAGGCCAGCCGGAAUUGGCCCCAACAGAAACAAUGGAGUUUCUUAGUUGGAAUUGUCUGGGUAUGGGGAACCCCCUGACAAUCCACAACUUAAAAGGGAUUUGUUUAUUCCAUUCUCCAAAUUUUGUUUUUCUCAUGGAAACAAAAAACACUUCUUGAGUGGUUAGAAGGAAAUUACAGCAUUUUUGGGUUUUUUGACAUGUUUUUUAUAGAUCCUAUGGGGUGGCU